This 232-nucleotide unclassified non-coding RNA is filed under the name fungal sp. RNAcentral's name for it is "partial internal transcribed spacer region". The stretch from base 1 to 46 matches the Rfam family "Eukaryotic small subunit ribosomal RNA", at positions 1786 to 1831 of the family's 1831-position model. Lineage: Eukaryota; Fungi. The record is from RNAcentral.
AAGUCGUAACAAGGUCUCCGUUGGUGAACCAGCGGAGGGAUCAUUACCGAUUGUUACCAAACAAACCACUGUGAACCGUCCCUUUAGCUGCUUCGGCGGGCGAUCCCAGGGCGGGAUCCCGGGCUCCUUACGGGGUGCUCGCCGGCGGCCACUUUCUAGCUCUGUUUCUAGCGGGCUUCUGAGUGUAAACCAAAAAUAAUCAAAACUUUCAACAACGGAUCUCUUGGCUCUG